Molecule: non-coding RNA, 266 nt
Organism: Schizosaccharomyces pombe (fission yeast)
Lineage: Eukaryota; Fungi; Ascomycota; Schizosaccharomycetes; Schizosaccharomycetales; Schizosaccharomycetaceae
Source: the annotation of a GenBank genome assembly
CUUUCCCUCAAUCUCGCUAUCCGUUUACCGCACAUACACUACCCAUUCUUGUUUUACCAUUUCACACUUUAUGAAAUUUGCUUUGCUUUGCUUAGCUACUUUACUCUACACCUCACUACUGCCUCGCUACUCUUGUUUAAUCAGUGUAAAAGUAAAAUACAAGUAUUUAUUGUUUUCUUUCAUUAUCAAGACACAAGGAGUUGGGAUAUGAUCAAAGGAACUCAAUCCCAUAUCAACCAACACAAAUAGAAUUUGCAUAAAUAAUA